UAUGCAGUUUCAGGAGGACA
This 20-nucleotide non-coding RNA is filed under the name Arabidopsis thaliana (thale cress). Lineage: Eukaryota; Viridiplantae; Streptophyta; Magnoliopsida; Brassicales; Brassicaceae. The record is from RNAcentral.